This 492-nucleotide ribosomal RNA is filed under the name uncultured bacterium. RNAcentral describes it as "partial 16S ribosomal RNA". It matches the Rfam family "Bacterial small subunit ribosomal RNA", at positions 29 to 507 of the family's 1533-position model. The record is from RNAcentral.
AGUGAACGCUGGCGGUAGGCCUAACACAUGCCAGUCGAACGGCAGCACAGUAAGAGCUUGCUCUUACGGGUGGCGAGUGGCGGACGGGUGAGGAAUACAUCGGAAUCUACUUUUUCGUGGGGGAUAACGUAGGGAAACUUACGCUAAUACCGCAUACGACCUACGGGUGAAAGCAGGGGAUCUUCGGACCUUGCGCGAUUGAAUGAGCCGAUGUCGGAGUAGCUAGUUGGCGGGGUAAAGGCCCACCAAGGCGACGAUCCGUAGCUGGUCUGAGAGGAUGAUCAGCCACACUGGAACUGAGACACGGUCCAGACUCCUACGGGAGGCAGCAGUGGGGAAUAUUGGACAAUGGGCGCAAGCCUGAUCCAGCCAUACCGCGUGGGUGAAGAAGGCCUUCGGGUUGUAAAGCCCUUUUGUUGGGAAAGAAAAGCAGCAGGUUAAUACCCCGCUGUCCUGACGGUACCCAAAGAAUAAGCACCGGCUAACUUCGUG